UCGAAUGAUUUGUUGCUUAAGCC
Molecule: non-coding RNA, 23 nt
Filed under: Arabidopsis thaliana (thale cress)
Lineage: Eukaryota; Viridiplantae; Streptophyta; Magnoliopsida; Brassicales; Brassicaceae
Source: RNAcentral